Non-coding RNA from Paramuricea clavata, 397 nucleotides. The record is from the annotation of a GenBank genome assembly. NCBI's taxonomy places the organism in Eukaryota, Metazoa, Cnidaria, Anthozoa, Malacalcyonacea, Plexauridae.
CGGAGUGGGAACUUUUCGGAUUUGAAAUCAGCGUGUUCGAAAGUGUUCGUUCCCGUAAAAAUAUUUCAGAUCUAAGACAUGCUUAAUGAAAAUCUUUUUCUAGGCACUUUUCGAGGUCACAACAUACGGACUAUAAGCUCCGCUGGUAGAGAUAAUCAUUCCAAUAUAAUUAGUAUACGAACAACUAAAUGGCCACAACUUUCAAUAAAACUGAUUUCAACGCAACUGUUAAUUUCUGUAUGCUGAUAUCAUUUUAGUCAAUUUGGUCGAUUCUGAUUGGUUAAAAACAGUGCCGAUUAAACAUUCAUUGGCACAAUGUGCCGAUCUAAGAUUAUAAUCGGCUCGAAUGCGAGCCCGCCUGCAUUACACACAAAAUGUCAAAAUCUAAGUAAACAAG